RNAcentral lists this long non-coding RNA (374 nucleotides) under Cimex lectularius (bed bug). RNAcentral describes it as "uncharacterized LOC106670573, transcript variant X2". Lineage: Eukaryota; Metazoa; Arthropoda; Insecta; Hemiptera; Cimicidae. The record is from RNAcentral.
UAUAAAAUAAAUUCUCAUCGGCUACUAUUUCUCCACGAAUUACAGCAUAAGCUACAAUCAAUUUCAAUGUAUUAAAGUUUCUUUUGCAAAUGUUAGUCAAAAUUGUGAAAAAAAUUCACCUUACAGUUAUUAAAUGAACAAACAUAAUAAUGUCAAUGAGAGGUUAAAAUGAAAAUUAUAUCAUGGAUCGCCGAUUAGUCUACCGCCGUUAUUAAGGCCCGCCCCCAUUGGAACCAAUUAGGAUACCAGGAACCAUUGUGGUAGAAAGGGUCGAGCCAUUACAGCCCCAUUCCAGCUGUCAGAUUGAAUAAGGUGAAGAGACCAAGGACAAAUUUCGACAAAAACAGCACCUCAGAAAGACACAAAUCAUAGGA